GGUAAAAUGGCUGAGAUUAAGCGGUAAAUUGUAAAUUUACAGACGAAAAAUUUUUCUUUUACCA
This 64-nucleotide transfer RNA is filed under the name Curculionidae sp. 3 AH-2016. RNAcentral's name for it is "tRNA-Tyr". Lineage: Eukaryota; Metazoa; Arthropoda; Insecta; Coleoptera; Curculionidae. The record is from RNAcentral.